CCUCCUCAUAUUGGCACAGAUGGGAUCCUUUGUACCCAUUUGUGUAAUCUAAAGGAGGGAGAACAAACUAUCAAUUUUAAGACUGCUCACAGAUAAUGUAUUCUGUGGAUCUGUCCUUAUACUUUGAUACAGAC
Small nucleolar RNA from Sardina pilchardus (European sardine), 134 nucleotides. RefSeq annotates it as small nucleolar RNA SNORA57. The record is from RefSeq and is a predicted model, not a curated record. NCBI's taxonomy places the organism in Eukaryota, Metazoa, Chordata, Actinopteri, Clupeiformes, Clupeidae. The transcript has a single exon.